Nicotiana attenuata is the source of this 270-nucleotide long non-coding RNA. RefSeq lists it as uncharacterized. The transcript has 3 exons. Lineage: Eukaryota; Viridiplantae; Streptophyta; Magnoliopsida; Solanales; Solanaceae. The record is from RefSeq and is a predicted model, not a curated record.
AAAACAAAUUUCUAACGCCUACUCCCUUUUCUCUCUCUUUGACAUCAGUUCUUUCUUCUAAAGUCUAAACCCAAAACAAAUUUCAUCCUUCACCAUCACACGUUUCUUUCUUCAGGGAUCAAGCAGCUGUCGAAUCUUUUUCUGGUGAAGUGGAUGAUUUGAGACCAAAUUGUAUUUGGAUUUCAAGGAUAUCUUUCAGAAAUUGGAAGUUCUCUUGAUGUGAAUAGAGAUGGACAUAUUUUUGACGAGGUUUAAUUCUUCUCAAUCAAG